Molecule: RNA transcript, 1743 nt
Organism: Panicum hallii
Lineage: Eukaryota; Viridiplantae; Streptophyta; Magnoliopsida; Poales; Poaceae
Exons: 4
Source: RefSeq, a predicted model, not a curated record
CAUGAACACAAGUGGAUUUUGUGCUGCGAUGAAGCUGCAGCGUUUUCAGGUUUUUCUUCUCUCAUUUAUAGAAGAGAACCAUGCUGGGAAAUAAAGGACUAACAGAGCGCCCGAGAUUGGCUCGCGUCGUGCGGUACUUCAUGUUCAUCCCCACGCUCGCACGAUGCUCCUUUCCCGCAAGCCCUGGCGUGCGCGGGCUAUCCUGGCCACGGCGUGCACGGUGUCCACAAUCCGGAGCUCGCACGCGCAUGCAGGAAACAGAAACGUGACCACUAAUGCAUGCAGCUAAUCUACGUGUCAAGGCUUAAGUUAGCUAACAAAUAUUGGAGUAGAAUGUCUUCCACCAAGAAAGCUAAAAUGAUAACCGAAUAUUGGAGUAGUAGUAUGCCUAAAUUGGAUUUUGUCUAACCUCAAGCCUGGUUCCAUGAGAAUGUUCAGCUGGUCUUGAAUGUAAAUAUUUGUCCCUUUUCAUUGAAGUUAAAACUAAUUAUAAGCCAGCUGAAAUAUGACUGAAUUGUAAGAAAAAUCCAUGAAUCAGCCAAGAUUAGGCAACUAUAGGACGUGGUAACAUACGUGUUGCAUCCAGCAUCUGCAUGUCUACCCUUUCGUGAUUUAGAGCACACUAAAUCUGAAAAUUUUUGACAAGAAAGCUGUCAAGACUCUCAAUAAAUUAUGCUGACUACAUUCUGUCAAUUAAGUGGUCUCAAAGUGGAUACGGCCAAAUGGCUCCUCUACUGACUACUGAUCAGAUCAUGCUCCUUUAGCCUACCAUUGGUAUUGGCCUAACCAGUGAUGACUGAUGACAUUGCUGUUGAGCUGACAAGUUCAACAAGUUCUGUUAGACCUUUUCUUUCAUCCUAUUUUAGCUCACUUUCAUAUUUGAUUGUUCUUUCACCCUUCUUUGCUUCUUUUGUUUCUGUAAUAGUAUAGCUCUGCCAUUUAAGAGUUGUUUCUGUAAUAUUCUAAUUUUCACUGUUCUUCAUGUUGGUUCAUGUGCUCUGUCAGACUAUCGUAGAUGGAACUAGAGUCUCCGUUGGAUACCUGUCAAACAUCACUAAUGGAGCUGCACAAUUGCAAUCCAAGUCACGAUCACACACCGUCGAUCCUAAGGAAUGUAAGCGACAAAGGGAAAGAGCACGGUACGGAGCAAUGUCUCUACAGCAGAGGAACGAUCGAAAUAAGAAGCGCCGUAAAGCCUGUCAAAGAAAAAAUGAGGCCGGAUCCGCAUAUAACAAGGAAAAUGAGGAACAAGAUGGAAAUAGUGAUUGGUUCUAUAGGAACGAUUCGUACCAGCCUGAUAAUCUUGACAAUGAUAUCAUGGCCUCCCAUUUACUAGGUAUUGUUGUGUAUUUUUAGGAUGGUGAAGUGACACGCUCUUUGUCUUCGUAUUGCUCGAUGCAGAUUGUGUUGAGAGGGGUGAUGCGUUGAGCAACCCAGUGAUUACUUAACUAAACUAAAGGAGCACUAGGAUAUUUUUUUUUGUGAUAAUUUCAGGACGUAGAUGAUCAGGUCUAGGUACAGUUCCUAACAUUUAUCAAUUCAAACCAAUAUUGAAUACAUGUGUAUCCUUGACAAUUUACAUUGCUUCUAAUCUGAAAAAAUGCUUUUCUUGUACUUUCAUUCAAAAUAUGGCAAAUAAAUUAUUAUUUUCUGCUCAUCAAGAAAGUGGGUUGGUCAUAUUCAUUUACUUAUUCUGUCAAACAGGCUUACACAUAUCUGGAUGAGGCUCAUAGCAUUGGUGCU